RNAcentral lists this ribosomal RNA (318 nucleotides) under uncultured eukaryote. RNAcentral's name for it is "partial 18S ribosomal RNA". It matches the Rfam family "Eukaryotic small subunit ribosomal RNA", at positions 1470 to 1796 of the family's 1831-position model. The record is from RNAcentral.
CCCUUAGAUGUCCUGGGCCGCACGCGUGCUACACUGACGCAUACAGCGAGUACUCCCGGCUCCGCAAUGGCAGCUGGUAAUCAUCAAUAUGCGUCGUGAUGGGGGUAGAUCUCUGGAAUUUUUGAUCUUGAACGAGGAAUGCCUAGUAAGCGCAGGUCAUCAGCCUGCGUUGAUUAAGUCCCUGCCCUUUGUACACACCGCCCGUCGCUCCUACCGAUUUCGAGUGGUCCGGUGAACCUUUCGGACCGGGAGCAGCCUCGUGCUGCGCCUGGAAAGUCAAGUAAACCACAUCACUUAGAGGAAGGAGAAGUCGUAACA